AGGCAUUGGAAAAGAAUGAAGGUGCAGGGCAGGGGAAAGGAAAGUCAUAUUGACCAGGAAGGGAAGGAAAUUUUCACGAUACCAGUGAUCAGUGCCAAAGCCCCAUUGCCUGUGGAGAAGGUGAUGUUUGACUUCCUGUACAGCUGCAGUUCGUGUGGUGAAGGUGCUCCCACAAUGUGGUUGGGGAUCUGCACUGGAACCCUUCUGUUUGCGGGACAAAUAUAUAUAAGUGACAUGGAUUAAAAUCUAAUUUGCUUUGAUGGAGAUGUGUUGAAAAUGUUUGCAGUUACUGAUCUGCUGAACCAAAAUGACCCCUUUUAAACUGAUGAUUGGAC
This is a long non-coding RNA of Hemiscyllium ocellatum (epaulette shark), 335 nucleotides long. RefSeq lists it as uncharacterized. Lineage: Eukaryota; Metazoa; Chordata; Chondrichthyes; Orectolobiformes; Hemiscylliidae. The transcript is spliced from 4 exons. The record is from RefSeq and is a predicted model, not a curated record.